AUUCAACAUCAGCAGCACAUAUACUGAAAUUGGAACAAUACAGAGAAUAUUAGCCUGACCCCUGCGCAAGGAUGACACGCAAAUUCGUGAAACAUUCCAUAUUUUU
This is a small nuclear RNA of Choloepus hoffmanni (Hoffmann's two-fingered sloth), 106 nucleotides long. The record is from Ensembl. NCBI's taxonomy places the organism in Eukaryota, Metazoa, Chordata, Mammalia, Pilosa, Megalonychidae.